UGCGUAGGCGGACUAAUAAGUCGGUGGUGAAAUCUCUCGGCUCAACCGGGAAACUGCCAUUGAUACUGUUAGUCUUGAGUUCGGUUGAGGUAGGCGGAAUGUGUAAUGUAGCGGUGAAAUGCUUAGAUAUUACACAGAACACCAAUUGCGUAGGCAGCUUACUAGACCGACACUGACGCUGAGGCACGAAAGCGUGGGUAGCGAACAGGAUUAGAUACCCUGGUAGUCC
Molecule: ribosomal RNA, 229 nt
Filed under: uncultured bacterium
Lineage: Bacteria
Description: partial 16S ribosomal RNA
Rfam family: Bacterial small subunit ribosomal RNA
Source: RNAcentral